AUACGUAGGGGGCUAGCGUUAUCCGGAUUUACUGGGCGUAAAAGGGUGCGUAGGUGGUUUCUUAAGUCAGGAGUGAAAGGCUACGGCUCAACCGUAGUAAGCUCUUGAAACUGGGAAACUUGAGUGCAGGAGAGGAAAGUGGAAUUCCUAGUGUAGCGGUGAAAUGCGUAGAUAUUAGGAGGAACACCAGUAGCGAAGGCGGCUUUCUGGACUGUAACUGACACUGAGGCACGAAAGCGGUGGGGAGAC
RNAcentral lists this ribosomal RNA (249 nucleotides) under uncultured bacterium. RNAcentral describes it as "partial 16S ribosomal RNA". It matches the Rfam family "Bacterial small subunit ribosomal RNA", at positions 523 to 771 of the family's 1533-position model. The record is from RNAcentral.